UACGUAGGGGGCGAGCGUUAUCCGGAAUUACUGGGCGUAAAGCGCGCGCAGGCGGCCUGUUAAGUCGGGUGUGAAAGACCACGGCUCAACCGUGGGGGUGCAUCCGAAACUGGCGGGCUUGAGUGCAGGAGAGGGGAGCGGAAUUCCCGGUGUAGCGGUGGAAUGCGUAGAGAUCGGGAGGAACACCAGUGGCGAAGGCGGCUCUCUGGCCUGUAACUGACGCUGAGGCGCGAAAGCGUGGGGAGCAAACAGG
RNAcentral lists this ribosomal RNA (253 nucleotides) under uncultured bacterium. RNAcentral describes it as "partial 16S ribosomal RNA". It matches the Rfam family "Bacterial small subunit ribosomal RNA", at positions 524 to 776 of the family's 1533-position model. The record is from RNAcentral.